ACGGGUGAGUAACACGUAUGCAACCUACCUACAUCAGGGGAAUAACCCGGAGAAAUUCGGACUAAUACCGCAUAAUACAGGGAUGCCGCAUGGCAAUAUUUGUUAAAGAUUUAUCGGAUGUAGAUGGGCAUGCGUUCCAUUAGCUAGUUGGUGAGGUAACGGCUCACCAAGGCAACGAUGGAUAGGGGAACUGAGAGGUUUGUCCCCCACACUGGAACUGAGACACGGACCAGACUCCUACGGGAGGCAGCAGUGAGGAAUAUUGGUCAAUGGACGAGAGUCUGAACCAGCCAAAUCGCGUGAAGGAAGACUGCCCUACGGGUUGUAAACUUCUUUUGUACAGGAAUAAAAGACAUUACGUGUAAUGUAUUGCAUGUACUGUACGAAUAAGCAUCGGCUAACUCCGUGCCAGCAGCCGCGGUAAUACGGAGGAUGCGAGCGUUAUCCGGAUUUAUUGGGUUUAAAGGGUGCGCAGGCGGGAUUUUAAGUCAGCGGUGAAAUUUUCAGGCUCAACCUGAACACUGCCGUUGAAACUGGGAUUCUUGAGUAUGGAUGAAGUAGGCGGAAUUCGUUGUGUAGCGGUGACAUGCUUAGAUAUAACGAGGAACUCCGAUUGCGUAGGCAGCUUACUAAGCCAUAACUGACGCUCAAGCACGAAAGCGUGGGGAUCAAACAGGAUUAGAUACCCUGGUAGUCCACGCCGUAAACGAUGAUUACUAGUUGUUUGCGAUAUACCGUAAGUGACUAAGCGAAAGCGAUAAGUAAUCCACCUGGGGAGUACGCCGGCAACGGUGAAACUCAAAUGAAUUGACGG
RNAcentral lists this ribosomal RNA (814 nucleotides) under uncultured bacterium. Its description in RNAcentral is "bacterial SSU rRNA". It matches the Rfam family "Bacterial small subunit ribosomal RNA", at positions 102 to 916 of the family's 1533-position model. The record is from RNAcentral.